UAUAACAGGGGUUUUCGUCGUUCCUGUUAUAUUUAGAAUUCGGGGGAAAAGUCACUAGAUACUGAUGAAACAAAACUAAGUUUAGCUUUACGAUGGUUUAUAUACAACUUCUUCAAUAGUGCAAUACAUUAAAUACAAUAAAAGUUCAACGGUAAAUAUUCCGAAAAGACAAAACAAAUGGUAAUUCCAAUAAAUGUUCUAUACUAAGCACAAUGAAUGUCACUGUAAAUGCACGGCGUCCGUACAGCUUGACCGCUGGUAUCCAACUGACUAUUCGCAUAGAAACGAUAUUAAAUGUAUUACGUAAUCUUACUUAAUCAUAACUACAUGUAAUAAUGAAAUUUGUCACGUAAUGCUAUAAACGAAUAAUACAAUUAAAACAUAUAUACGAUAACAAGAAAUAGACAAUGCUAGGAUUAAAAUGGAUUAAUUUCUUAACGUGUA
Molecule: long non-coding RNA, 444 nt
Filed under: Mytilus galloprovincialis (Mediterranean mussel)
Lineage: Eukaryota; Metazoa; Mollusca; Bivalvia; Mytilida; Mytilidae
Source: RNAcentral